Molecule: ribosomal RNA, 558 nt
Filed under: uncultured bacterium
Lineage: Bacteria
Description: partial 16S ribosomal RNA
Rfam family: Bacterial small subunit ribosomal RNA
Source: RNAcentral
UGGGGAAUAUUGGACAAUGGGCGCAAGCCUGAUCCAGCAAUGCCGCGUGAGUGAUGAAGGCCUUAGGGUUGUAAAGCUCUUUCGCACGCGACGAUGAUGACGGUAGCGUGAGAAGAAGCCCCGGCUAACUUCGUGCCAGCAGCCGCGGUAAUACGAAGGGGGCUAGCGUUGUUCGGAAUCACUGGGCGUAAAGGGCGCGUAGGCGGCCUGUUUAGUCAGAAGUGAAAGCCCCGGGCUCAACCUGGGAAUAGCUUUUGAUACUGGCAGGCUUGAGUUCCGGAGAGGAUGGUGGAAUUCCCAGUGUAGAGGUGAAAUUCGUAGAUAUUGGGAAGAACACCGGUGGCGAAGGCGGCCAUCUGGACGGACACUGACGCUGAGGCGCGAAAGCGUGGGGAGCAAACAGAUUAGAUACCCUGGUAGUCCACGCGUAAACGAUGAAUGCUNGACGUCGGGGUGCAUNCACUUCGGUGUCGCCGCUAACGCAUUAAGCAUUCCGCCUGGGGAGUACGGCCGCAAGGUUAAAACUCAAAGGAAUUGACGGGGUCAUAGCUGUUUCCU